UCCCUCAGUAACGGCGAGUGAAGCGGGAAAAGGCCAGCUCUAACCUCCACCUUUUCGGAAGGUGGCGGGAUGUGAGGUGCGUGUUUCAGCCAUGCGACGAUCGAGCUCCGCGCAAGUCCUGUUGAGUCAGGCUCAGCCCAUGGAGGGUGUGAGGCCCGUACGGCGGAGAGCGGUCGCCGGUUGUACUGUAACAUAAGAGUCGGGUUGUGUGAGAAUGCAGCCCAAAGCGGGUGGUAAACUCCAUCUAAGCCUAAAUAUUGUGGCGAGACCGAUAGAGAACAAGUACCGUGAGAAAAAGUUGAAACGCUCUGAGAAGAGAGAGUUCAAUAGUACGUGACACCGUAGAGAGGUAAGCGGUGGAGGCAAUCAGGUAGUCUUGCGAGAUUCAACGCACGGAGUUGUGUGGUGUCGGGUAUUGCUCUCUCUCUCGGGAGGGGCAUACUUGGCUUCUCGUGCAUCCCGCGCGCGCAGUUCUCGCCCGGUCUCGGUCACGACCGAUUGCUGAGGAGUCUGAGAUGGCGACGUUAGGGCUCUUUCCUUUCGGGGUUUGAGUUGACGAAGCAUACGGCGACCUCCUUGGCGAUCGUGGGAGAUUGGCGUGCUCGCCUUCGGGCGGAGGACCCGGAAUUUGGCUCGGUUGUCGAUUGCCGUGGACUGUUCACAGUGCAUGGCGACUGUUGCUGGGUCUGGUCUGGUGCUUCUCUGGUAGUGCGUCCUGUCAGUGGCUUUGCGUUGCCCUCCACCGACCCGUCUUGAAACACGGACCAAGGAGUCUAACAUGUGUGCGAGUCGUGAGGGAUUUGAAACCCGCAGGCGUAAUGAAAGUGAAACACGAUUCCGUCGUGCAAGGCGAGAUCCUUCGUAUUUAUGCGGAGGCGCAUCGCCGUCCCGUCCGAUUUACAUGAUAAAUGGGCGGAGAAAGAGCAUACACGUUGGGACCCGAAAGAUGGUGAACUAUGCCUGAGCAGGCUGAAGCCAGGGGAAACUCUGGUGGAGGGCCGUAGCGAUUCUGACGUGCAAAUCGAUCGUCUGAUUUGGGUAUAGGGGCGA
Molecule: ribosomal RNA, 1050 nt
Filed under: Protodrilus sp. 8 MDD-2014
Lineage: Eukaryota; Metazoa; Annelida; Polychaeta; Protodrilidae
Description: eukaryotic LSU rRNA
Rfam family: Eukaryotic large subunit ribosomal RNA
Source: RNAcentral